Molecule: long non-coding RNA, 709 nt
Organism: Ostrea edulis (European flat oyster)
Lineage: Eukaryota; Metazoa; Mollusca; Bivalvia; Ostreida; Ostreidae
Exons: 3
Source: RefSeq, a predicted model, not a curated record
GAUAAGUGGUGUGAUGUUAUUGAUGGUAAACAGGAGACUGUGACCUUGAAUCUGAAGAUCUGUGAUGAAGACUGGACGUUUGGGGUCACUCUCUGUUACAGUACUACAAAUCUAACAGUGUUAAACUCAGCCACAAAGAGGUUGUCUCUGAUGUCCACACAUAAACCGAAUGGAGACUUUAAAUGACAGUGAAUGUAACGGAGGAACUGUCCGUCCUGAUCUAGGAUGUGGAUACGGUCAUUGUUAUCGUCUGCUGUCAGGAUGUGACUCUGGCUGUCUGUAGUUAUGCCGUAUGGAGUAAAUGAUUGCUCGGUAUUAGAGGGAUGACCAGUGUAUCUAAAUCGGAGUUUUCCUGACUGAUUGACCACCACUACUGCUCUAGCUGAAAAGUCAGCCACACAGAUAUCCAGGUUCUUGUUCUCACUGAUGUGUUUAUAUAAACCACUAGAUGAGUAGAGAGGACGACCCUGAUCAUCAAACUGAAUGCUUUGUUUCUCUGUGGAGCCAGAGUAACGCACGACUUUGGAUUGUUCUCUAUCAUCACUGUACAUGGUAACCAGGAGAUCGUUAGCCGCGGUACAGCAGACAUUGAGAGGUCCCCACCCCUGUAGUGUGAUCACGAAUGAGUUGAGUGGAAUAAUGAACCUCCAGAUGUCUAUGUACACGUUUAUGAAUAAACUUUGUUGUACUCGCCAUGCGAGCUUAUUCA